UGAGGCAGGAGAAUCGCUUGAACCGAGGAGGUGGAGGUUGCAGUGAGCUGAGAUCGCGCCGUUGCACUCCAGCCUGGGUAACGAGAAACUCCGUCUCAAAAAAAAAAAAA
This 110-nucleotide microRNA precursor is filed under the name Chlorocebus sabaeus (green monkey). RNAcentral describes it as "miRNA (ENSCSAG00000024938.1)". The record is from RNAcentral. Lineage: Eukaryota; Metazoa; Chordata; Mammalia; Primates; Cercopithecidae.